UUGAAAAGGAAAAAUCUGGAGAAAAAAAACUGAUUAGAGGUUCAUAAAUAUCGUCCGGAAAUUUGGAAAAUUGAUUGGGUAAUGUUUCAACCUCAGUCGUCUCUUAGGCUAUAAUCCUAGAAAAUAGCUAAAAGUUGAGAAUCUCAUCAGAGGGGACGAUAAAUUCAUUCCAACCCCAGCUUCCGGCCGUCAGAGACUCCUGGAACUUGGAUGGGGUGGUUUUGGAAGGUUGACUUGACCCCCAGAAUUUAAAGAGCCCCUUAUAGCAGGGAAGUUAGCACUUGCUGGCACCAGAAUUCAUUGAAAGAUUCCAACUUCUGUUUGGUGCAUAGCACUGUGUCAAGCUUCUGAUGAUGAUGUGGCCUCUUAGUUGGUUGCUUGCUUAAGAAUAUCUAAUCUUCUUUGGUGCUUGAUUAUGUGCAACACCCACAGAAAUGCAAAUGCAAUGGUUGCCAAAUAACGUCUAAUGGUGAAACUCCUCGUCUUUUUGACGAUGCUGGUAAAUGCACAAUGAAUGUUUCUUACAGAAGCUCUGGUAAACUGGUGGUAUGCUUAUAUACACUUGAACAAUCUUCUCCGCUUGAGCUAAGCUCUUGAGAUUGAGUUAGACCUAAGCCCUAUAUCUUUACAUGGUAUUUGUAACACUCCCCCUCAAACUAGGCAUGAUCAAUAUGUAUGCUCCAGCUUGAGGGGAGUGUUAUAGAAUGUAUAUAGACUUCAUUGUUCAUUCUUAGCAAAGUACAUAGCCAUAUUUAGGUAGCAAAUUUGUAGGAAUCCUUCUUUAUUUCUUUCCUUAAUUAACACCUAAUGUAUUGUAUUUAGACAUUGCUUACAGCUUACCUAUUGGAAUACUAUAACUUCUUCCAUCUGAUUACAUGGUAUUAGUGCCAAGUCCUUCCCCGUUUAGGUAGCAAAUUUGUAGGAAUCCUUCUUUAUUUCUUCCUUAAUUAACACCUAAUGUAUUGUAUUUAGACAUUGCUUACAGCUUACCUAUUGGAAUACUAUAACUUCUUCCAUCUGAUUACAUGGUAUUAGUGCCAAGUCCUUCCCCGUUUAGGUAGCAAAUUUGUAGGAAUCCUUCUUUAUUUCUUUCCUUAAUUAGCACCAAAUGUAUUGUAUUUAGACAUUGCGUACCUAUUGGAAUUAUACAACUUCUUUCAUCCGAUUACAUGGUAUCAAUGUCAAGUCCUUCCCCGUUUGUGCCCUCGUGUUGUAUUGUCCAUGCUCCAUUGGGCCUAGGCAUGAAGGAGGUGUUAGAAUGGGUUAAAGUCUCACAUUGGUUGGGGAAUGGACUGGUUAUCUGUUUAUAUGAAUUUGGGCAAUCCUCCUUUCUUGAGCUAGCAUUUUGGGUUGGAUUAGGCCCAAGUGUUGUAUCUUA
Molecule: long non-coding RNA, 1378 nt
Filed under: Solanum tuberosum (potato)
Lineage: Eukaryota; Viridiplantae; Streptophyta; Magnoliopsida; Solanales; Solanaceae
Description: long non-coding RNA (STUB_LNC003235)
Source: RNAcentral